This 90-nucleotide transfer RNA is filed under the name Arsenophonus sp. Its description in RNAcentral is "tRNA-Ser". It matches the Rfam family "tRNA". From Rfam's summary of the family: Transfer RNA (tRNA) molecules are approximately 80 nucleotides in length. Their secondary structure includes four short double-helical elements and three loops (D, anti-codon, and T loops). Lineage: Bacteria; Pseudomonadati; Pseudomonadota; Gammaproteobacteria; Enterobacterales; Morganellaceae. The record is from RNAcentral.
GGUGAGAUGUCUGAGUGGUUGAAAGAGCAUGAUUGGAAAUCAUGUAUACAUACUAAAUAUGUAUCAAGGGUUCGAAUCCCUUUCUCACCU